This 744-nucleotide ribosomal RNA is filed under the name uncultured bacterium. RNAcentral describes it as "bacterial SSU rRNA". It matches the Rfam family "Bacterial small subunit ribosomal RNA", at positions 8 to 796 of the family's 1533-position model. The record is from RNAcentral.
AGAGUUUGAUCAUGGCUCAGAGCGAACGCUGGCGGCAGGCUUAACACAUGCAAGUCGAGCGGGCGUAGCAAUACGUCAGCGGCAGACGGGUGAGUAACGCGUGGGAACGUACCUUUUGGUUCGGAACAACACAGGGAAACUUGUGCUAAUACCGGAUAAGCCCUUACGGGGAAAGAUUUAUCGCCGAAAGAUCGGCCCGCGUCUGAUUAGCUAGUUGGUGAGGUAAUGGCUCACCAAGGCGACGAUCAGUAGCUGGUCUGAGAGGAUGAUCAGCCACAUUGGGACUGAGACACGGCCCAAACUCCUACGGGAGGCAGCAGUGGGGAAUAUUGGACAAUGGGGGCAACCCUGAUCCAGCCAUGCCGCGUGAGUGAUGAAGGCCCUAGGGUUGUAAAGCUCUUUUGUGCGGGAAGAUAAUGACGGUACCGCAAGAAUAAGCCCCGGCUAACUUCGUGCCAGCAGCCGCGGUAAUACGAAGGGGGCUAGCGUUGCUCGGAAUCACUGGGCGUAAAGGGUGCGUAGGCGGGUCUUUAAGUCAGGGGUGAAAUCCUGGAGCUCAACUCCAGAACUGCCUUUGAUACUGAAGAUCUUGAGUUCGGGAGAGGUGAGUGGAACUGCGAGUGUAGAGGUGAAAUUCGUAGAUAUUCGCAAGAACACCAGUGGCGAAGGCGGCUCACUGGCCCGAUACUGACGCUGAGGCACGAAAGCGUGGGGAGCAAACAGGAUUAGAUACCCUAGUAGUCC